ACGGGACACCUGCAUCUGCCAACAAGACUGGAAGCAGAAAGGGACAGAGACGGCGAAGUUUGACGGUCUGGAAAGCAGAGACCAGCAGGGCUGACUGCUUGGGAGCACCAAAUAUCCGGACAGCGCCUCUCGGGAGGUCCGAGAAGAGAACCGCGAUCUGUUUCAGCACCGGGGCUCAGGACAGUUCCCAGCGGGCUCCGUUUCGUCUCCAGAACCCUGGACAGCUCCUCCAGCUUGGAAUGCACUCCCUCCACCUCCAACCAGAGCUCCCCACAACUGACCCUGCCUUCUUCUGCAAGCUCCAUUUCAUCAAGGGAAACGAUCCUUAUUGCCUCACCAUUUCCCACGUGAAGUCUGUAUUGACAUUCUCAUAGACCUGGGAUAUUGUGUCUGCAGCACAUAGUCCAAUUAUUUUCAUGUUAUCUACUGACAGGUCUAUUUGUCUCCCUGUUACACUGUGAGCUCCGUGAGGGCAGAAACAAUGUUAGUAUUUUCACUGCUGUGUCCCCAGCGCCUGGUCCGGGGCCCGGCACACAGCAGGCAUAUAAUAAGCAUGUGUUGAAUCAAUA
RNAcentral lists this long non-coding RNA (569 nucleotides) under Homo sapiens (human). RNAcentral describes it as "non-protein coding MIR7-3HG:21". Lineage: Eukaryota; Metazoa; Chordata; Mammalia; Primates; Hominidae. The record is from RNAcentral.